UAUAGCUUGGGCAAAAGCGUUAAAAUUUAGAAAAAGUAUAACUCCCAAUAUGAGAGUCUGUUCACUCCAUUUUAUUAAAGAUGAUUUUUUACCUUCACCUAUUGAUUCAACUCGAACUUAUUUAAAAA
Molecule: long non-coding RNA, 128 nt
Organism: Polistes dominula (European paper wasp)
Lineage: Eukaryota; Metazoa; Arthropoda; Insecta; Hymenoptera; Vespidae
Source: RefSeq, a predicted model, not a curated record